Molecule: ribosomal RNA, 532 nt
Filed under: uncultured bacterium
Lineage: Bacteria
Description: bacterial SSU rRNA
Rfam family: Bacterial small subunit ribosomal RNA
Source: RNAcentral
AAUAGAUACCCGGGUAGUCCACGCCCUAAACGAUGUCUACUAGUUGUCGGGUCUUAAUUGACUUGGUAACGCAGCUAACGCGUGAAGUAGACCGCCUGGGGAGUACGGUCGCAAGAUUAAAACUCAAAGGAAUUGACGGGGACCCGCACAAGCGGUGGAUGAUGUGGAUUAAUUCGAUGCAACGCGAAAAACCUUACCUACCCUUGACAUGGUCGGAAUCCCUGAGAGAUUGGGGAGUGCUCGAAAGAGAACCGAUACACAGGUGCUGCAUGGCUGUCGUCAGCUCGUGUCGUGAGAUGUUGGGUUAAGUCCCGCAACGAGCGCAACCCUUGUCAUUAGUUGCUACGAAAGGGCACUCUAAUGAGACUGCCGGUGACAAACCGGAGGAAGGUGGGGAUGACGUCAAGUCCUCAUGGCCCUUAUGGGUAGGGCUUCACACGUCAUACAAUGGUGCAUACAGAGGGCUGCCAACCCGCGAGGGGAGCUAAUCCCAGAAAGUGCAUCGUAGUCCGGAUUGUAGUCUGCAACUCGA